This 435-nucleotide ribosomal RNA is filed under the name uncultured bacterium. Its description in RNAcentral is "partial 16S ribosomal RNA". It matches the Rfam family "Bacterial small subunit ribosomal RNA", at positions 29 to 507 of the family's 1533-position model. The record is from RNAcentral.
AACGAACGCUGGCGGCAUGCCUAACACAUGCAAGUCGAACGAUUGCCUUCGGGCGAUAGUGGCGCACGGGUGCGUAACGCGUGGGAAUCUGCCCUUAGGUUCGGAAUAACAGCUGGAAACGGCUGCUAAUACCGGAUGAUAUCGCGAGAUCAAAGAUUUAUCGCCUGAGGAUGAGCCCGCGUUGGAUUAGGUAGUUGGUGGGGUAAAGGCCUACCAAGCCGACGAUCCAUAGCUGGUCUGAGAGGAUGAUCAGCCACACUGGGACUGAGACACGGCCCAGACUCCUAUGGGAGGCAGCAGUGGGGAAUAUUGGACAAUGGGCGCAAGCCUGAUCCAGCAAUGCCGCGUGAGUGAUGAAGGCCCUAGGGUUGUAAAGCUCUUUUACCCGGGAAGAUAAUGACUGUACCGGGAGAAUAAGCCCCGGCUAACUCCGUG